CGAAACCGCGAAUGGCUCAUUAAAUCAGUUAUGGUUCACUAGAUCGUACAGUUUACAUGGAUAACUGUGGUAAUUCUAAAGCUAAUACAUGCACCCAGUCCGUUCCCUCGUGGAGCGGAUGCAGUUAUUUGCCCAAAACCAAUCCGGCCUUCGGGUCGGUCAAUUGGUGACUCUGAAUAACCGAAGCGGAGCGCAUGGUCUCGUACCGGCGCCAGAUCUUUCAAGUGUCUGACUUAUCAGCUUGUUGUUAGGUUAUGUUCCUAACAAGGCAUCAACGGGUAACGGAGUGUCAGGGCCCGACACCGGAGAGGGAGCCUGAGAAACGGCUACCACAUCCAAGGAAGGCAGCAGGCGCGCAAAUUACCCACUCCCGGCACGGGGAGGUAGUGACGAGAAAUAACG
RNAcentral lists this ribosomal RNA (402 nucleotides) under uncultured eukaryote. Its description in RNAcentral is "SSU rRNA". It matches the Rfam family "Eukaryotic small subunit ribosomal RNA", at positions 82 to 482 of the family's 1831-position model. The record is from RNAcentral.